RNAcentral lists this transfer RNA (71 nucleotides) under Danio rerio (zebrafish). It matches the Rfam family "tRNA". Rfam says of the family: Transfer RNA (tRNA) molecules are approximately 80 nucleotides in length. Their secondary structure includes four short double-helical elements and three loops (D, anti-codon, and T loops). Further hydrogen bonds mediate the characteristic L-shaped molecular structure. tRNAs have two regions of fundamental functional importance: the anti-codon, which is responsible for specific mRNA codon recognition, and the 3' end, to which the tRNAs corresponding amino acid is attached (by aminoacyl-tRNA synthetases). tRNAs cope with the degeneracy of the genetic code in two manners: having more than one tRNA (with a specific anti-codon) for a particular amino acid; and 'wobble' base-pairing, i.e. permitting non-standard base-pairing at the 3rd anti-codon position. Lineage: Eukaryota; Metazoa; Chordata; Actinopteri; Cypriniformes; Danionidae. The record is from Rfam by way of RNAcentral.
GCAUUGGUGGUUCAGUGGUAGAAUUCUCGCCUGCUACGCGGGAGAUCCUUGUACGCUUCCUGGCCAAUGCU